This is a long non-coding RNA of Danio aesculapii, 564 nucleotides long. RefSeq lists it as uncharacterized. The transcript is spliced from 4 exons. NCBI's taxonomy places the organism in Eukaryota, Metazoa, Chordata, Actinopteri, Cypriniformes, Danionidae. The record is from RefSeq and is a predicted model, not a curated record.
UGGAAGACAGGAUUUAAAUUUUUGGGUGAUCCAUCCCUUUAAAAAUGAGAAAAUUGUGUUUUUGUUAAAUAUAAUAAUUUUAAUGUUAUUAUUGCAGGAAUUACACAGUGACUUGACAAGUGGCAAAUAAGGUCCAACAGGAUUUUUUUGCAUAAACAUCCAACAUUUUUCCCUAAACUGAAUAGGAAACUUGAUCUAAGUAUUAGUAUAUUUAAUGAACAACAGACUGAGGGGAUUUAAAUUAAAAAGAAUUUAAAAAGUCACACAGAUUUGAAAACACAGACAUGAAAGAAUUGAGUAAUACGUCCUACGUUCUGGAAGUUCUAACUCCUGAGGUAACCUUCUUAAUUCUCAAAAGACAGAGGGCUUCCACAGGUUCCAGUCAGAAAUGGCUAUGCAAACAAAUAGACAUUUACAGCAAACCUCAGAUUGCAAUCCAAAAUGGUUUUGAUGACAAAGGGAUGCCUUCUGUUGCUGUGCAAGACAUAUCACUGUCAGGACUUUCUUACCCAUUGUUUUUUACACGUAUAUCUUUUUGUAUGGUUAAGCCUGAAAACGAAACCA